Molecule: non-coding RNA, 46 nt
Filed under: Schistosoma margrebowiei
Lineage: Eukaryota; Metazoa; Platyhelminthes; Trematoda; Strigeidida; Schistosomatidae
Source: RNAcentral
ACGCUACUGAGGAGUCCCAUACCAGGACGAAACGGUCGUUCAGUGU